GACGAACGCUGGCGGCGUGCUUAACACAUGCAAGUCGAACGGAAAGGCCCCUUUGGGGGUACUCGAGUGGCGAACGGGUGAGUAACACGUGAGUAACCUGCCCUUGACUUCGGGAUAACUUCAGGAAACUGGGGCUAAUACCGGAUAGGAAUCCUUGCUGCAUGGUGGGGGUUGGAAAGCUUCGGCGGUUUUGGAUGGACUCGCGGCUUAUCAGCUUGUUGGUGGGGUAGUGGCUUACCAAGGCUUUGACGGGUAGCCGGCCUGAGAGGGCGACCGGCCACAUUGGGACUGAGUUACGGCCCAGACUCCUACGGGAGGCAGCAGUGGGGAAUAUUGCACAAUGGGCGGAAGCCUGAUGCAGCAACGCCGCGUGCGGGAUGACGGCCUUCGGGUUGUAAACCGCUUUCAGCAGGGGCGAAGCUUGUGGUGACGGUACCUGCAGAAGAAGCACCGGCUAACUACGUG
RNAcentral lists this ribosomal RNA (465 nucleotides) under uncultured bacterium. Its description in RNAcentral is "partial 16S ribosomal RNA". It matches the Rfam family "Bacterial small subunit ribosomal RNA", at positions 28 to 507 of the family's 1533-position model. The record is from RNAcentral.